RNAcentral lists this ribosomal RNA (279 nucleotides) under uncultured bacterium. RNAcentral describes it as "partial 16S ribosomal RNA". It matches the Rfam family "Bacterial small subunit ribosomal RNA", at positions 506 to 784 of the family's 1533-position model. The record is from RNAcentral.
UGCCAGCAGCCGCGGUAAUACGGAGGCGGUGACCGUUGUUCGGAAUUACUGGGCGUAAAGCGCACGUAGGCGGAUUAGUCAGUCAGGGGUGAAAUCCCGAGGCUCAACCUCGGAACUGCCUUUGAUACUGCUAGUCUAGAGUUCGAGAGAGGUGAGUGGAAUUCCGAGUGUAGAGGUGAAAUUCGUAGGUAUUUGGAGGAACACCAGUGGCGAAGGCGGCUCACUGGCUCGAUACUGACGCUGAGGUGCGAAAGUGUGGGGAGCAAACAGGAUUAGAUA